Oncorhynchus keta (chum salmon) is the source of this 665-nucleotide long non-coding RNA. RefSeq lists it as uncharacterized. NCBI's taxonomy places the organism in Eukaryota, Metazoa, Chordata, Actinopteri, Salmoniformes, Salmonidae. The record is from RefSeq and is a predicted model, not a curated record. The transcript is spliced from 3 exons.
UAGCAUGGAUCUCUAUGAUCUAUACAGCCUGAGUGCAGACAGCUAGCUAGGUAUUUGCUUCCUUAGCAUGGAUCUCUAUGAUCUAUACAGCCUGAGUGCAGACAGCUAGCUAGGUAUUUGCUUCCUUAGCAUGGAUCUCUAUGAUCUAUACAGCCUGAGUGCAGAUAGCUCGCUAGGUAUUUGCUUCCUUAGCAUGGAUCUCUAUGAUCUAUACAGCCUGAGUGCAGACAGCUAGCUAGGUAUUUGCUUCCUUAGCAUGGAUCUCUAUGAUCUAUACAGCCUGAGUGCAGACAGCUAGCUAGGUAUUUGCUUCCUUAGCAUGGAUCUCUAUGAUCUAUACAGCCUGAGUGCAGACAGCUAGCUAGGUAUUUGCUUCCUUAGCAUGGAUCUCUAUGAUCUAUACAGCCUGAGUGCAGACAGCUAGCUAGGUAUUUGCUUCCUUAGCAUGGAUCUCUAUGAUCUAUACAGCCUGAGUGCAGACAGCUAGCUAGGUAUUUGCUUCCUUAGCAUGGAUCUCUAUGAUCUAUACAGCCUGAGUGCAGACAGCUCGCUAGGUAUUUGCUUUCCUUCACACAAGCCAUAUAGGUGGUGGGUUAACAUGUCUACUAUUGAACACACUGUUGCUAAUGAGAACAAAAGUUCCACCGACACCGUCUAACCCUUAA